UACGAAGGGUGCAAGCGUUACUCGGAAUUACUGGGCGUAAAGCGUGCGUAGGUGGUGAGUUAAGUCUGUCGUGAAAGCCCCGGGCUCAACCUGGGAAUGGCGAUGGAUACUGGCUCGCUAGAGUGCGGUAGAGGAGCGUGGAAUUCCCGGUGUAGCAGUGAAAUGCGUAGAGAUCGGGAGGAACAUCAGUUGCGAAGGCGGCUCUCUGGACCAGCACUGACACUGAGGCACGAAAGCGUGGGGAGCAAACAGG
Molecule: ribosomal RNA, 253 nt
Filed under: uncultured bacterium
Lineage: Bacteria
Description: partial 16S ribosomal RNA
Rfam family: Bacterial small subunit ribosomal RNA
Source: RNAcentral